RNAcentral lists this ribosomal RNA (484 nucleotides) under uncultured bacterium. Its description in RNAcentral is "partial 16S ribosomal RNA". It matches the Rfam family "Bacterial small subunit ribosomal RNA", at positions 30 to 507 of the family's 1533-position model. The record is from RNAcentral.
AUUGAACGCUGGCGGCAGGCCUAACACAUGCAAGUCGAGCGGAUGAAGGGAGCUUGCUCCUGGAUUCAGCGGCGGACGGGUGAGUAAUGCCUAGGAAUCUGCCUGGUAGUGGGGGAUAACGUCCGGAAACGGGCGCUAAUACCGCAUACGUCCUGAGGGAGAAAGUGGGGGAUCUUCGGACCUCACGCUAUCAGAUGAGCCUAGGUCGGAUUAGCUAGUUGGUGGGGUAAAGGCCUACCAAGGCGACGAUCCGUAACUGGUCUGAGAGGAUGAUCAGUCACACUGGAACUGAGACACGGUCCAGACUCCUACGGGAGGCAGCAGUGGGGAAUAUUGGACAAUGGGCGAAAGCCUGAUCCAGCCAUGCCGCGUGUGUGAAGAAGGUCUUCGGAUUGUAAAGCACUUUAAGUUGGGAGGAAGGGCAGUAUGUUAAUACCUUGCUGAUUUGACGUUACCAACAGAAUAAGCACCGGCUAACUUCGUG